Molecule: long non-coding RNA, 786 nt
Filed under: Rattus norvegicus (Norway rat)
Lineage: Eukaryota; Metazoa; Chordata; Mammalia; Rodentia; Muridae
Description: long non-coding RNA NONRATT026683
Source: RNAcentral
UUCAAGAACAAAUGGUUCGCAGAGUAAAAAGGAGAAAACAAAUGACUCUUGAGAAUCUGAAGUUAUAUUUGAUGCCGUUUCUAACGGGACAAGUAUGGCCUACGUUUUUUGAUGGGAUAUUGUGUUCUGUCCACCCUAAGGCAGAAAGCAAAACUUCCGUCAACACACCGAAUGAAAAACAGAAAUAAAAAGGAGGAGGAUGCGACUACUUCUUAGGUACGGAGAUUUUUAUUGUAGACAUGAGGGAGAGCAGGGAGAGCAUUGCCUGAGGUGGAGACAUCCGGGAGAGUCCAGAGUGAACUGAGCCAAUCCGAGGAAGGUGAAUCCUCAACUGAGAUUCUCUCUUCAUGGAGGACACGUGACCGUGUCUAGGAGGGCAUUUUCUUCCCGUCAUGGGUGGUAUCAGUCCUCAGGCAGGUUGGCUUGGGCUGGAUAGCUGAGCGAGCCAGUAAGAAGCAUUUCUUCGUGUCUCUGCUUCAGUUCCUGCCUCCAGGUUCCUGUCCGGAUUUUCCUCAAUGAUAGACUAUGUAACCUAUAGAUCAAAUAGAUCUGGAUCCUUUCUUCCCUCAAGUUGCUGGUCAUGAUAGGGAAAAGGAGGCCAUCUAGGACAGGAAUGUAUGAAAUACCUACGUAUGUAUAAUGUUACUCAGGGAAACAGCCCAGAGUUUCACUUGACGAAUAAAGAACACUAUAGCCACAUAUCGGAAUACUAUGCAGCCAAAAUCUGCGAAAUAUUUACAUAUGUUAAUAUAAGGCAGUUUUCAAUAUCUGUUAAUGGAAGAUCUC